AUGUCUGGGAAACUGCCUGAUGGAGGGGGAUAACUACUGGAAACGGUAGCUAAUACCGCAUAACGUCGCAAGACCAAAGAGGGGGACCUUCGGGCCUCUUGCCAUCGGAUGUGCCCAGAUGGGAUUAGCUAGUAGGUGGGGUAACGGCUCACCUAGGCGACGAUCCCUAGCUGGUCUGAGAGGAUGCCAGCCACACUGGAACUGAGACACGGUCCAG
RNAcentral lists this ribosomal RNA (217 nucleotides) under uncultured bacterium. Its description in RNAcentral is "partial 16S ribosomal RNA". It matches the Rfam family "Bacterial small subunit ribosomal RNA", at positions 113 to 334 of the family's 1533-position model. The record is from RNAcentral.